Molecule: ribosomal RNA, 320 nt
Filed under: uncultured Prevotella sp.
Lineage: Bacteria; Pseudomonadati; Bacteroidota; Bacteroidia; Bacteroidales; Prevotellaceae
Description: bacterial SSU rRNA
Rfam family: Bacterial small subunit ribosomal RNA
Source: RNAcentral
GAUGAACGCUAGCUACAGGCUUAACACAUGCAAGUCGAGGGGCAGCAUGGGGUUUGCUUGCAAACUCUGAUGGCGACCGGCGCACGGGUGAGUAACGCGUAUCCAACCUGCCCAUGGCUAGGGAAUAGCCCGUUGAAAAGCGGAUUAAUGCCCUAUGGCGUCCUUUGAAGGCAUCUAACGAGGACUAAAGGUUUACCGGCCAUGGAUGGGGAUGCGUCCGAUUAGGUAGUUGGCGGGGUAACGGCCCACCAAGCCCUCGAUCGGUAGGGGUUCUGAGAGGAAGGUCCCCCACAUUGGAACUGAGACACGGUCCAAACUCC